Molecule: ribosomal RNA, 208 nt
Filed under: uncultured bacterium
Lineage: Bacteria
Description: partial 16S ribosomal RNA
Rfam family: Bacterial small subunit ribosomal RNA
Source: RNAcentral
UGUGUAGGCGGUUGUUUAAGUUUGGUGUGAAAUCUCCCGGCUCAACUGGGAGGGUGCGCCGAAUACUGAAUGACUUGGAGUGCGGGAGAGGUGAGUGGAAUUCCUGGUGUAGCGGUGAAAUGCGUAGAUAUCAGGAGGAACACCGGUGGUGUAGACGGCUCACUGGACCGUAACUGACGCUGAGACACGAAAGCGUGGGUAGCAAACA